Molecule: transfer RNA, 71 nt
Filed under: Camelus bactrianus (Bactrian camel)
Lineage: Eukaryota; Metazoa; Chordata; Mammalia; Artiodactyla; Camelidae
Also listed under: 2 other names
Rfam family: tRNA
About the family: Transfer RNA (tRNA) molecules are approximately 80 nucleotides in length. Their secondary structure includes four short double-helical elements and three loops (D, anti-codon, and T loops).
Source: Rfam by way of RNAcentral
GGGGGCAUAGCUCAGUGGUAGAGCGUGUGCUUAGCCUGCACGAGGUCCUGGUUCAAUCCCCAGUAUCUUCA